This is a small nuclear RNA of Panthera tigris altaica (Amur tiger), 108 nucleotides long. The record is from Ensembl. Lineage: Eukaryota; Metazoa; Chordata; Mammalia; Carnivora; Felidae.
GUUGCAGUCUUCGGCAACACAUACACUAAAAUUGGAACAAUACAAAGGAAAUUAGCAUGGCCCCUGCACGAGGAUGACACACAAAUUCAUGAAGCAUUCCAUAUUAAA